ACUAAAUGCGGGAGAAAAGCGUGCACAUGGUCACGUGACUCCACCGGGAGCGCGCUGGCGUUGGAGAAAAGGGACGCGUGCGCGUUCAUAGAGUGUGUAAUUACGUUCACCUGUUGCAGAGAACCUGCGCUGUGUUUGUAAAUAACAAUGCACUGCACUCUAAUGCCUGCGUCCGUUUCUGAGCUUCUUUUUAUUCUAUUUUGUAUUUUAUUAUUUAUGCCACAUAAUGUCCAUGUUGAUAUAUACCUGUGUGUUUAAUUAUUUUAAUUAAUAGCACGUUAGCUAUUAGCACUGUCUAGUUUCCAUCAUCCACACUGUGUUUACUUCCGCAUUUGUGUUAUCGCGAGACUCUGUGGACUCCGCGCUGUGUACGUCAUCACGUAACGGUGCGUAUUGUUUACGGAAGUAAAGUUUAAACCGGGAGAGAGACAGCAGAAGGAGCGCGUUCAGUUGAUCAGUGUAUCAUCUCUAUGGAUUAUGGUCAUGGUUUCCUGCUGAAGGAACAUCUCCGGUGGAUAUCUCCUCUAAAGGAACAUCUUCGGUGGAUAUCUCCUCUGAAGGAAUACCUUUUCCCUUCUAUUGUGUUACUGCUCGGGAGGAUUCACCAGCGAGUUUCAUUAAUCCGGCGGAAAAGUGGAUCUUCUCACCUUUGGACUGAGGAACGGUACAUGACUCCUCUGAGUAUCAGCAGCAGCAGCAGAACCCCAACAGCUGUACAGAUGAUGAUGAUGAUGAUGGUGUGAGGAUCUGGGUUUGUGGAACAGAAGAGAAGUGAGAAGGACACAUGGGGGUUUGAAUUCUCCAUUCUGAUUGAUAAACCCGCUUCUAUUUUAGUGACACACCACCGAAGAGGACGACUGCUGGUGAAGGAAGUGACGGCGUGAACACACCACACGGGUAAGCAGUUUACCGACGUCAUCCACAUAUUCUGAGAACAGUGUUCACACCCCAGUGGGUGUUUGAGACAUGUACGACGCGUAAGAACCUCGAUGAGUAACAGCCAAUGAGAGAGCAAGAGGAAACUGUAGGGGAACGAAUCAGGAACAACCAGAACACCAAUCAUGAUGAAGGAGACUCAGCGUUCUACAUGAACCCAGGACAUGGACGGGGAUUAAUAAAGCUCUAGCAGGAAGUUCUUAUUUAAUAAGUGCUAAGCAGGUUUUAUCAAAGUUCCGUGAUGAACAUUUUCUCAUGUUAUAUUUAUAUUUGGUUUGAUAUCAAACAGAAAAACUCCAAAAAUCACCCAAAUAAUUUCAGUAGUUCAGUGUGCACUUUAUAUUUCCAUAUCAUACGUAAGAUUACUGCAUGCCGACAUGCUUUAAAGGCAUUAUAUUAUAAACUCUUCCAUCUAUUUACUGACAUUAUUAAAAACGGGGGAGAGAGAGAGAGAGAGAGAGAGAGAGAGAGAAGCAGACUCACCUUCAGUGACAUGAAGCUGUAUAAGGAGGAGAAGAAAACACACCUGCAUUCUGACUGAGGACCCAAACACACACAUUAAUCCAAAGAGAGAACUGGAGCUAAACACACACUGACCAACUGCUGCACCGAGUCUGAUCAUAAUGAACACACUCUAGAGAUGACACUCACACUCACAGCUACUACAGGAAGUGCAGAUAUAGCAGUAUGACACUGACCACAUAGAUGAGAGGAAGUUCCUCAUGUCUGUUGCACAGCAGAACUGAGUCUAUGUUCUAAAUCCUUUCAAAUGAUCUAAUGCCAAUAAACAAUCAACUAUUGUAUAAAUAAUCAUUGUCAUGUCUUAAAAACAUGCAUCUUAUCAUGUCUCAAAUGAGAUUUGACACGACACAGUGACAGUCAUCUACAGGCUCCUGCAUUACUGAUCUGACUUCUCCAUCUAGUGGCCUUUAAGGGUUAGUGCAAGAGAAUAAAGCUUAUGAUAUGUUUUUAAUAUAUAUUUUUAAAUGUUUGGCAAAGAACAGGACAAAACUUAUGCAAAGUAGUAAAGAGCACUAUUUCAGUACACUGCAGUAUUCAGUACACUUCAGUGCACUGCAGUAGUUUAUGUACCUCUAUGCUUGAGUAGUCCUUACACUUCAGAAUUAAUUCCUUACUUGUGUAAUGGCUCCCCUGGCGUUGAUUUGUUAAUACUGAUCAGUUUAUAAAUACAUGAUACAAUUGUAUCCUGUGUGUAUUUUGUUGAUCUUUGUGCUAUUAAAAUAAAACUACAUAUAAAAUCUUAUUACACUUACUACACAGUAUAUUAUCAUUUAUUUGAGACCAGUUUAUUGACACAAACACAUUGAUACAGUAACACACACAGACUCAAGUGGGCGCUGAUUAGAUGAUUUAAUGUAGAGAUAUAAUUAUUCUAAUGUUUGUACAUCAACAAUAAGUGGGCAGCAAAAGUGGACUAACUGCGUGAGAAAAGCGUGCACCUGGUCACUUGACUCCACCGUGAAGGAGAAGGAGUUGGAGGAGAAGUCGGGUUUUGGUUCUGUGCAGACGUGAGGAGAAAGAGCAGGAUGAGAUGUUGAGAGUGGAGAACCUUUUAUCAAGGUUUUGGGAGAUGGACUGGACAUCCGGCUUUGCAGAGGAAGAUGGACUCCACAGAUGAAGCUGAUCAAUGGAAGGAAAGUAGUUUACAAUCAUUUAUGUGACACAGGUGUAUUUAUUCUGGCACAUUUGGUGUAAAAUAAUGCUAAAAUACACAAAAAAGUGGUUUUCUGGAAAUUUUAUUUCAUUUUAAAAGUUAAAAAGGAAAGCGCAUCAGUGUUAGUCAGAAUACAUCAGUUCUGAUCGCAUUUACAAUACAGGACCAAGAACAUUACAAUAUUUUCUGAGGGGAAAAAUACAAUGUGCCUAGUUUUUAAUGAUGUAAAUAUUGUGAAAGUGAAGCAGGCUUCAAAAGCAUGUGAGAAUCAGGUAUUAAACUCUAAAUGAUCUACUUUUAAAUCUAAACCACACAUAUUCUGCGAUUAACUAAAAUAUUAUUAGGCAGAAAAUAAAAGCUGAACGCCUAAAAGGUUGGAAAGGACAAAUCGUGAAAAAAAUAUGAAGCUUCGGUAUUUACAGAACUACUUAUGCAGGUCUAUUUAUGAAUAAAUCUGUUUAUUAAUGUAUUGAUGGAUCAGCUGAUCGAGUUCUUCUCUACUGCAGACUCACUGCUCCAUCUCCAUCAGCUCUGCUGUAAUGAACUCUAUCAGGACCUGGAGAGUAAACUAAAAAAGAAAAGCUACGUUCAUGCAGAUAAAAUGGCGGGGAAGUGGAGGAUAAAUGUCCACAAAGUAGUAAGAGUACAAGAGCUUAAAAGUGUGUGUACCUUUCUUUCUGGUUCUGCAAUAGACCACAGCCACGAAGAUGUGCAGAAAGAUCACAGUCACCACGGCGAAGGGGACGAAGGGAAGACGCUCUGGAGAGACGUCAUCAAUAUCAUGACACACCACCGAAGAGGACGACUGCUGGUGAAGGAAGUGACGGCGUGAAUACACCAGAGUCUGUGUUUAGUUAUUAAUGAUUAAAUAUUGUGAAAGUGAAGCAGGUUUCAAAAGCAUGUGAGAAUCCGAUAUAAAACUAUAAAGGAUAUACUUUUAAAUCUAAACCACACAUAUUCUAUGAUUUAGUUAAAAUAUUAUUAGGCAUCAAAUGGAAAGCUGAAAGGUCACAUAUUCAUUAAAAUAUUUCAUUUCCUUAGACAGACUGUAGUCAAAUUCCCA
This is a long non-coding RNA of Ictalurus punctatus (channel catfish), 3674 nucleotides long. RefSeq lists it as uncharacterized. The record is from RefSeq and is a predicted model, not a curated record. The transcript has 5 exons. Lineage: Eukaryota; Metazoa; Chordata; Actinopteri; Siluriformes; Ictaluridae.